Molecule: unclassified non-coding RNA, 533 nt
Filed under: Hevea brasiliensis (rubber tree)
Lineage: Eukaryota; Viridiplantae; Streptophyta; Magnoliopsida; Malpighiales; Euphorbiaceae
Source: RNAcentral
AGGUCUCGCAAGAGCUUCCAUAAAGCCGGGGGGGAUACACGAGGACAGGAUCAAGUAUUUCUUAUUUUCUUGAUUUUUAUAGAAAGAUUCAUAGAAAGUAGCUUUUCAAUCGCUUCAGGGAAAACCAGGCUAGGGAAAAUAAAGACCCACAAGUGAGAUAAGCUCAUCACCAAGAAGCACAAAGGCAAAGGGGAAAAACACACAAUUUGUCCAAUUCUCCAAUUCUUUUUUUCCCCCUCAAGAUGUUCAUUUGUAGAUUGGAAAGUGUUACAAUGUGAAUUAAGGAAAUUUUUUUUAAUGUAAAUAUAAUAACAUACAACAAUGAAGUUUAUGCUUAGUGAUAAUGCAGUAAUUUUCAGGAUUGAAAAGCCUUAAAUUCGAAGUUCUAAUAGAAGUUAAUUAUAAAUAAAUAAAUCAGUAGUUUAUAGCUUUAGAGUUAAUGCCAAUUUUCAGAGGGAAGGGGUUAAAAUUUUAAAAUUCAACUUCUUUCUUCAUUUUAACAAAAUUUCCAAAAAAACAUACCCAACAGGGGA